Asparagus officinalis (garden asparagus) is the source of this 437-nucleotide long non-coding RNA. RefSeq lists it as uncharacterized. The record is from RefSeq and is a predicted model, not a curated record. The transcript is spliced from 2 exons. Lineage: Eukaryota; Viridiplantae; Streptophyta; Magnoliopsida; Asparagales; Asparagaceae.
GUUAAGUUACAAUAGCGAUAACGCAUAACGUAACGUAGGUUAAAUAAUUUAUUAUUAUUUAAAUAAUUUAUUAUUAUUUAAAUAAUUUAUAGAUAUAUAACGUUCAAAAUAAAUCAGAAAUUUUUAAUUUUUAAUAAUUUCAGCAAUUUAUAGUAGAUUCCGUAAUAUAAUAUUGUUUUUUUCUGUUGUAAUUCUUUACCAGGAUCUGAUUAAUUAUUAUGUAUAUUGAGAAACUAUAGCUGAAUCUGCAAUUCUUCACUGCAAAUAGCCAGAAUCAAACUCGAGACCUCUCUUGGACUGGGUCAAAGGAAUUAGUACUCUCUUGGACUUAAGAGAGGCCUAGACACAAAGAUAGCAACAGAAGAUGAUAUCGUGGAGGGUUUCUUCAGAAAAUAGCAAAAAAAGGAGGAAAAAAAAGAAAAUCCAGGAAAAAAAAA